Molecule: long non-coding RNA, 206 nt
Organism: Telopea speciosissima
Lineage: Eukaryota; Viridiplantae; Streptophyta; Magnoliopsida; Proteales; Proteaceae
Exons: 4
Source: RefSeq, a predicted model, not a curated record
UAGGGAUUCAAAAGGCGAAGACUCAGGGUUUUCUUUUGUCAAUUGCACAGUGAAUGGAACUGAGAAUAGUGUUGACCUGGGAAGAGCUGGGGGUAAAUAUGCAAGAACUGUGUAUUCUUACUGUGAUUUGGAUAUCAAUAUAUCUGGACAACGAUGGAGUGAUUAGGGAGAUGAAUCAAGAAGAAGGGCUGUGCAGCAUAGAGAAU